This 456-nucleotide ribosomal RNA is filed under the name uncultured bacterium. RNAcentral describes it as "bacterial SSU rRNA". It matches the Rfam family "Bacterial small subunit ribosomal RNA", at positions 340 to 786 of the family's 1533-position model. The record is from RNAcentral.
UACGGAAGGCAGCAGGUGGGGAAUAUUGCACAAGUGGGCGCAAGCCUGAUGCAGCCAUGCCGCGUGUAUGAAAAAGGCCUUCGGGUUGUAAAGUACUUUCAGUCGUGAGGAAGGUGUUAAGGUUAAUAACCUUAGCAAUUGACGUUAGCGACAGAAGAAGCACCGGCUAACUCCGUGCCAGCAGCCGCGGUAAUACGGAGGGUGCGAGCGUUAAUCGGAAUUACUGGGCGUAAAGGGCACGCAGGCGGUUAAUUAAGUUGGAUGUGAAAUCCCCGGGCUUAACCUGGGAAUGGCAUUCAAGACUGGUUAGCUAGAGUCUUGUAGAGGGGGGUAGAAUUCCAUGUGUAGCGGUGAAAUGCGUAGAGAUGUGGAGGAAUACCGGUGGCGAAGGCGGCCCCUGGACAAAGACUGACGCUCAUGUGCGAAAGCGUGGGGAGCAAACAGGGAUUAGAUACC